AGACCCGAAACCCGGUGAUCUAGCCAUGGGCAGGUUGAAGGUUGGGUAACACUAACUGGAGGACCGAACCGACUAAUGUUGAAAAAUUAGCGGAUGACCUGUGGCUGGGGGUGAAAGGCCAAUCAAACCGGGAGAUAGCUGGUUCUCCCCGAAAGCUAUUUAGGUAGCGCCUCGUGAAUUCAUCUCCGGGGGUAGAGCACUGUUUCGGCUAGGGGGCCAUCCCGGCUUACCAACCCGAUGCAAACUGCGAAUACCGGAGAAUGUUAUCACGGGAGACACACGGCGGGUGCUAACGUCCGUCGUGAAGAGGGAAACAACCCAGACCGCCAGCUAAGGUCCCAAAGUCAUGGUUAAGUGGGAAACGAUGUGGGAAGGCCCAGACAGCCAGGAUGUUGGCUUAGAAGCAGCCAUCAUUUAAAGAAAGCGUAAUAGCUCACUGGUCGAGUCGGCCUGCGCGGAAGAUGUAACGGGGCUAAACCAUGCACCGAAGCUGCGGCAGCGAACGUAUCACUUAAAGCGAUUCAGCGGGUUACGAUUGACGGAGCGAAGCGACGUCAAAGCGUAUACAAAGUCGAGUCGGUUUAAGGAUACGUUCGUUGGGUAGGGGAGCGUUCUGUAAGCCUGUGAAGGUGGCCUGUGAGGGUUGCUGGAGGUAUCAGAAGUGCGAAUGCUGACAUAAGUAACGAUAAAGCGGGUGAAAAGCCCGCUCGCCGGAAGACCAAGGGUUCCUGUCCAACGUUAAUCGGGGCAGGGUGAGUCGACCCCUAAGGCGAGGCCGAAAGGCGUAGUCGAUGGGAAACAGGUUAAUAUUCCUGUACUUGGUGUUACUGCGAAGGGGGGACGGAGAAGGCUAUGUUGGCCGGGCGACGGUUGUCCCGGUUUAAGCGUGUAGGCUGGUUUUCCAGGCAAAUCCGGAAAAUCAAGGCUGAGGCGUGAUGACGAGGCACUACGGUGCUGAAGCAACAAAUGCCCUGCUUCCAGGAAAAGCCUCUAAGCAUCAGGUAACAUCAAAUCGUACCCCAAACCGACACAGGUGGUCAGGUAGAGAAUACCAAGGCGCUUGAGAGAACUCGGGUGAAGGAACUAGGCAAAAUGGUGCCGUAACUUCGGGAGAAGGCACGCUGACACGUAGGUGAAGUGAUUUACUCACGGAGCUGAAGUCAGUCGAAGAUACCAGCUGGCUGCAACUGUUUAUUAAAAACACAGCACUGUGCAAACACGAAAGUGGACGUAUACGGUGUGACGCCUGCCCGGUGCCGGAAGGUUAAUUGAUGGGGUCAGCGCAAGCGAAGCUCCUGAUCGAAGCCCCGGUAAACGGCGGCCGUAACUAUAACGGUCCUAAGGUAGCGAAAUUCCUUGUCGGGUAAGUUCCGACCUGCACGAAUGGCGUAAUGAUGGCCAGGCUGUCUCCACCCGAGACUCAGUGAAAUUGAACUCGCUGUGAAGAUGCAGUGUACCCGCGGCAAGACGGAAAGACCCCGUGAACCUUUACUAUAGCUUGACACUGAACAUUGAGCCUUGAUGUGUAG
This 1529-nucleotide ribosomal RNA is filed under the name Salmonella enterica subsp. enterica. RNAcentral's name for it is "partial 23S ribosomal RNA". It matches the Rfam family "Bacterial large subunit ribosomal RNA", at positions 711 to 2141 of the family's 2925-position model. Lineage: Bacteria; Pseudomonadati; Pseudomonadota; Gammaproteobacteria; Enterobacterales; Enterobacteriaceae. RNAcentral also lists the same sequence under 1 other name. The record is from RNAcentral.